Non-coding RNA from Biomphalaria pfeifferi, 225 nucleotides. NCBI's taxonomy places the organism in Eukaryota, Metazoa, Mollusca, Gastropoda, Planorbidae. The record is from the annotation of a GenBank genome assembly.
CUUGAUAAAACCAUAAUCAAACAGCACUUUAUGUUCAAAUAUGGUUGUACUUUUAUUAUUAAUAAACUGGGUACAUAAGCCUCUGGAGCCUUUUCUUAACUCAUAGCAUACCCAUGUUUCAGUGAUUGGGACAUGCAUACAUUUCAAAACAAAUUGAUUUAAAACAAAAAACAGAGGACAAAAGUAAAAGAACAAAUAACAUUCACAAUACAACUUUUAUUUAGA